AUGACCACCGUUACUCAAAAUUGAGAAGUGUCUGUCAGUGCAGUUGCUCUUCGAAAUGCUUUCAAUACGGUUGAAACUACGUCCGAAUACGUGCUCAAGAGUGGAGUAAGGACUGUUUGAACAGAGGCUGAUGCAUCCUAAGUGAAGAAAAGCAGCGUUGGAUGGUUACGCAGCCGUUCUUUGGCCGUUCUGUGGGUCGGCGCUCGGUUGUGCGCUGUAUGAUGGUAUAUGUUUGCUGAACACAACAAUUAACGUCCUCUAUGCUUUCCCUGGCCAAAUUAUCUGUCCGAUUCAUUUGGUAGUGUCUAGUAAUAAACGAGUCCCUUGAAAAUAUUGCCCUUUCGUUCACUCGUGGCGAGGGCCUCACGACGGCAGACGUAAGUCCUUAGAUUAGCAUAUAAGGGUUUAUUGACCGGCUGCCGCCUCGUGCAAAGAUCAUGUGCCACGUAACGUCUCUGGCAAAAAAAGAGUGUUCCACACUCGCCGCCUGGGCUACGAGCAGUGCUGGCUAAUAUUUCCAGGGAUUACAUGCGCAGAAAUACCCAACGAAGUGGACGGGAAAGUGCCUUCCGUCGUAGCUCAAUUGGAUCUGCAAGAAACCGAGCAAAUUUUGCCACAUGGUAAUGGGUUGUGCCGGACCCAAAGAUCCCAGUGGACAGGACAGGAAGAGUCAAGGCUGAGUUUGCAGCUAAGAGCUUGGAGGACCAAUGGAAGCUGAUAAACUAUGCCCGUGCUGUAGCAAAGACCAAUGGCUGUCUUGACCGAGGUAGCCACCCGUCGAAGGCUCAUUGCUGUUGUCCUGCUGGAGCUGGGUGGUCUGCCAUAGGUCCAUGUCUCAAGAAAACUCACAAUUGUUUUCUUCAAAGUGAGAGGAGUUCUUUUCUCUCAAGUUCUUGCGUUCUUGAUGUUGCUGCAGCAUCAUUCAAGUCUGUGAAGAAAAGAUUUGCUGGACAGGACCAUUGCCCUCAAGAAAGAAAAUGGGUCCACAUACUGCCGAUGUUCAUUCUUAUCUCGGCAAAGAUGGGCCAGCUUUCAAGCACGGAUCUGCAAAGUGCUCUCAUCACGGCUUGGGCCAUCCUGCAGCAACAGCAGUGUGGUUUGCUUCGUUGAUGUGAAGGUGUGUUUCAUGUAGGUGACUGUUGGUGUGACAGUGGGGCUUGCAGUGGAGUCUGAAGUUCGUGGAUCAUUGUAUUUAAAAAUAGACAUGUAAUACGUACUGUAUUGUUAUUCUCUGAAAUAAAGUGUACAGCCAAUUU
Rhipicephalus sanguineus (brown dog tick) is the source of this 1256-nucleotide long non-coding RNA. RefSeq lists it as uncharacterized. The record is from RefSeq and is a predicted model, not a curated record. The transcript has 5 exons. NCBI's taxonomy places the organism in Eukaryota, Metazoa, Arthropoda, Arachnida, Ixodida, Ixodidae.